AUGAAAGAAAGGCAACGUACAGCCUCCAACUCCAUCUUCUCCUCCAUUUUCACUAGGGUUCAUCAUUAUCACAGGCGGCAAGGAGCUCCAUUAGAUGGGUCCAGUCCUCCAAAUGGAUCUCUGCAAAGAGUCCGGAUCGUCGAGCGGACAAGCCGGAGGGAAUUCACGGGGAAAAGGCGUACUCUAACGGCAUAGAGUCCGGAUCGUCGAGCGGACAAGCCAGAGGGAAUUCACGGGGAAAAGGCGUACUCUAAAGUUUUCAGGUUUUCUAGCAGAAGGGUGAUGAUCAAGCAUAUGUAUCCGAACCGAACACUCUAACAAACGCUUCCGCACAUGAUCUUUUGUUUUAAAAA
Helianthus annuus (common sunflower) is the source of this 353-nucleotide long non-coding RNA. RefSeq lists it as uncharacterized. The transcript has 5 exons. Lineage: Eukaryota; Viridiplantae; Streptophyta; Magnoliopsida; Asterales; Asteraceae. The record is from RefSeq and is a predicted model, not a curated record.